GAGGGGAGGGAAGGAGUUGGAUGUAGGCCACCAUUCGGGACAAGAAGGGACAAGAGACCCCCCGACUGGAGGCCUUUUAGAAUCCAGUCGGACCAAUCACAAGCAAGAAGGGGUGGGCUACUCUUCAGAUGGCGCUAGUGUUGAGGCGCGACUGAAGGCGCAGACAAAAGAAAUAGUAAAGGAAAAAGAAAAGCAAAAAAGUUCGAUCAAUAGACAGACGGGCCAAUGACAGGCUAUGCAAGGGGCGGUCAUUUUCCCCCCUUCAUAUCUUUCACUCCUGUCACACACAUUCUACACCAUGCUGCAUUCUCUUCAGUCCACCACGCAGAUUUUUAUGAAUGCUAAUAAAAAAAACGGUUAUUUUUUUCCCCCUGUUUCUUCGUGUGUAUAUUGCUUGGGAUUGAAGUGCGAGAUCUGAACAGCUGUGACAUUGGCCCUCCCUCGACCCGAAAGAAGGAAAAAAGUUAUUCAGUGUGAAGACAACAACAAAAAAAUUGAUGGGAGAUUAAAGAUAAGUCCAUCCUCAGACUUGACGAAAGGAAAAAGAAGGGAAGAUGAAAAGACGGAAGAAGAAGAAAGAAAGAGAAAAAAAGAAACCCUCUUGGGAGAAGCCGGAAUAAGAAGGGAAAAGGAAAACAUCCAUGUCAAAAGAACUCUAGCUCCCUCCUAUUGGCUUGAUUGCACUAACACACACACGCGCUGCCCCGUUUCCCUCGCUCGGCUACACCACGCGCCAACAAGACUUAAUACACCGUGGUAGGCUAUCGCUA
Long non-coding RNA from Daphnia magna, 770 nucleotides. RefSeq lists it as uncharacterized. The transcript is spliced from 3 exons. The record is from RefSeq and is a predicted model, not a curated record. Lineage: Eukaryota; Metazoa; Arthropoda; Branchiopoda; Diplostraca; Daphniidae.